CGUAAAUUCGUCGCAUUGAAAGGAGUAAUCGCAGGAAAAUAAUUAGCGCGGCGCUCAUUCGGGGGCGGCGCUCUUUUAAAAAAGUUGAUCUCAAAUGCGGCGCUCAUUCGGGGGCGGCGCUCAAUCGGGGGCGGCGCUCAAACGAGUAAAUACGGUAUCUUGAGUUAGAUUUAGCUAUGAAUUUUGAUUUACACAACAAAUUUGCAUAUUUGUAAUUCUGCGAUUGAAGGUCCGUCAGAACUCAGAAGGCUAUUAAUAUGGAGGAUAACCUAUAUAAAUGCAUUAAUGCAGUAUACCUAGGAUAUAAAGGUCAGGUUUUAUAGAUGAAUGUUAAGACUUUAAUAUUGAUAUAUGUUUAUUUGAGUAAUAUGACACUGUAGUGAUUACUAGUCAAGUGAUCAAUGACUCAACAAGGCUAUUAGGCAACAAAAAUGAGUGUAGUACUAUCAUGAGAUAGUUAAACAUAAUACUAGCAAUCCGUAAUUUGAUAAAAUGAAACAUCUUCCACAAUUAUCACAUUUCUGCAAGUACUUCUCCUUUACGUUUCCCUAAGGAGCGAGUUGUGAGAGUCAGUCAGACUGAUAGUUGCUAUAAUUAUCUCCCAUUUCACGAAGUUAAUUUUUUGUUGAACCUGCUUUCAGAGUGAUGCAAAUUGCGUUUCUGAGGUUUAAAAAUAUAAAAAUUCCUGGGGGACAGACCCCCCCCCCCCCUAGGUGCCUCGCGCAUUCGCCGCUCGCAAAACUGGAUUGUACAUCCAAAAACUUUGACUAACGUACAAAAAAUCCUGGAUCCUCCCCUGAACCAUAAUAUACCAAGACACCGGCUCAGACGUACCCUCCGGCUACGGGCAGCUCAACCUGACAAGCCAGGCCCACUGUAACUAUGAUCAUCAACUAUCAACCGUAAAGAAUGACGGGCCAAUAAUAGCGAAGAAAUUAUAUAGUCCUUGAUUUUUAGUGCCGUUAUAUGGCUAGUUUCAGGUACUAAAAAGUUCAUAGACAUGGACGAUUCUUGCUUCCAUUUAUAAGAUAAACUGAUCCCAACCCAAAGCCCUUCUCUAACCCCAACCAGUAAACAUCUAAUAAACAAUUGAGAAUUAAAAAAGUGGGGGGGAAAGUUGGAUCUUGUUCCAAAAACAAAUCGAACCUAUCACGUUUCACUUCGCCGCACGCAACGCCACCUCGCUGAAUACAGUCGAAAACAUACAUUUUAUAGUAAUAUAUGAUGAAUUAGAAAGUAAUUUGGCGCAAAUUAAUGUAAUUAGGUGCAAAUUUAUAAUUAUGCAAAUAAAUACAAGAGCACAACGCAUGUUUAUGAGCCUACAACGUAUAUUUAUACUAUCAAACCUUUAACUUGUCCUUGUUUAUAUUCCACUAUAUUGUAUAAAUUCGCUGGGUCCAAAUUUUGGGGGUUUCGAGUCGUUACACAAAGAAAAACACACUAAUUCAACACGCAAGAAAGGCCAGAGUGCGACACAACGUAAAAUCCAUAGGAAACCGGCACAAUUCUCUGAAAAUUCAACGAAACUGUGUGAAAUAUAUGUUAGAUUGCUCAGUGAAAAGCCGCCAUUUUGAAACUGAACUGAAUAUGUCACUGGAGCACGUUGCACCCUGAGCCUGCGAUGAGCUAACGCAAACUCCAUUUCUCGACGAAAAAAAAAACAGAAAAAGGGGGAUUUAAGACACUUGGCCUACAGGCCAGUGUAACAAGACGCCUGCUCAGGCGUUCACACUGACCUGAAAAUGACGACAUACGCGAUAUGGUGCAAUUAGCUUGCGUGGCAGGCCCUCAAUUUUAUGGAGAGGGGGCCUGAUUUGCAGCGGGCAGGAUUUUGGCGGGCACGGGGUGGCGGGCACGGGGUGGCGGGCACGGGGGAGGAUUCGCCCGCCAAAAUCCUGCCCGCUGCAAAUCAGGCCCCCAUAAAAUUGAGGGCCUGCCACGCAGGCUAUGGUCACUGUGCUAUGGUGCAAUCACUGAGCUGUAUAAUAACUGGAGGACCUGCUCCUAUACUUCGUUCAGUCAACGAAGUGAAGCCAAAAACUUGGCGGAUUUUCAGGCAAAAUGACGCCAUUUCCAUGACUACUGGUCCCUAAAUUCAUGGUAAUUGCCACUGAACAAGGAUCAAAUAUGAGCCCGCCGCAGUUUUCACUCCCCUGUUGAAUCUGUUGAAACUGGUAGUCAAUUUAUCCCGGGCGUUCUGUGACCCCGUCCGCGAUCAUAUCAGAUCAUGUCAGCGGCUUAGCAUUUAGCAUUAAUUAACACAAUUCGAAUUCGCGCGCGAAUUAUUAAUUAAAGAUAUUAUUUUAAUUGAAUAUAAUACACUUAAAAAAUAAACGUGACCCUAACUCUAACCUAACCUAACCGAAAGGCAUUGUAUAAAGGCAAUCUGAGGAAAAAUCUUUUAAAGAAAAAAAUAAACAAAAAACAAAACAUUGGCAAUUGCGAGAUCGAACCACCAAUUAGCAGCACGUUAGAUCGCACGCAACGCCCUAGACAAACACGCCACCGGCACUCGCUGAAAUACAAAAGAAGAAAAUCUAAAUAUAUAGGGGUCACAUAUAUAAAUAAAACCAUCCGCUCACAUUUAGUAUAAAAUAUUGUGAUGGCAUCGGCAUUUAUUGUUUUUCUAGCCACGUCAAGGACCUCAAAUUUCAGAGAGGAUAGUUUCUGAAUUUUCUCAGAGCAUGUAUUAAUUUGCAUGCACAUGGGAAUGACCGUAUACGUAUGUAUUUUUAGACAAAAUAAACUAUAGAGUAUAGUAUAAACCAGUCAUAUUUGUUCUUUGAUGGUAAAUUCGGUACUGGAAUGAUGGCCCAUGUAUCUGGAAAUAUUUCCACUUUCUAAAGUAAUGUAAAAUUCCUUUGAAUUUUGAGUAAAACCUUCGAACUUCGGGCGACGUUAUUUAAGUAAUUUACUAGAUGCCGCUGAUGUGAUCGCGGACGGGGAGGGUCACAGAACGCCCGGGAUAAAUUGACUUAUGACUACCGUUGAAACUUGAUGCUCAAGAAAUAUGUCGAAGUAUACCUCUCUGUUAUCAAACCUACGGUAAAAUAAUCCGACAAUAGCCUACUCAAUGAUAUUGUCAAAGACUUGUUUGUGCGUGUAUAUGUUACAAAUAGGAAUACUGUAUAUGUCUGACAUUUAGGACAUUUAGAGAAUGCAGUCCGCAUGAUAAAUUUGAUAAAUAGCUUUAAUUGUGACAAUAGCUUUACUGUAAUGAAAUUUAAUACUUUACUGUGAUGAAGUACUUUGUGAAAUAUAAUACUGAAUCAAACUCUAAGACUAUGUAAAUGUUAUAUCUGUGGUGGGUACAUUGAUAUGACUGCAUGUGCAUAUCAGACUGAGUGAUAUCAGUGUUUAUGGCGUGGUUUAUUCCGUGGUUUAUGGAAUUAUCUAUGAUAUGACUAUGUUGAUAUUAUAAAAUGUGUACUGUAUGUCAGAAAAAUACUGUUAUAAAUAUUGCUAUUACCCCAUUACUUAGUGCAUGGAGGCCAAAAAAUUAUCAGGCUAAAGCCGUGAUUGUAUAUACCACUUGAUGAUACACGCCCUGAGGCUGAAAAUUGUUGUACUUUACUACAGUGCCAACCUCCUAUACCCUACCGAUCUACAGGUUUUUUAAUAAAUAUGAUGAAAUAUUUAAUUUAAAAUAUUUUCAAAGAUAAACUAUCGACAGUUUUAAAGUGAGCAUUUAGUCACUGUUCGGCAGUGUCGAUGCACAUGUUUACAUUGUGAUUUGUGACAAAAAAUUAAUUACAUUUCAAACUGAAUUUUUUUCAACCUUCACUAAAUGAGACGC
Molecule: long non-coding RNA, 3796 nt
Filed under: Paramuricea clavata
Lineage: Eukaryota; Metazoa; Cnidaria; Anthozoa; Malacalcyonacea; Plexauridae
Source: RNAcentral